AACAGUCCAUCACUACGUUAAGACAUGAAGGUCAGUCAAUCCGGAAUAUUUCAAGAACUUUUAACGUUUUUCUUUGAGUACGCGUGUCCAAACUUUUGACUGGUACUGUAUGUUUCCAAGAUGUAUUUUUAGAAACAAUACAAAACAUACAAAUGACUACAUCAUACAAACAUCACUACACCCCUCCUGCCCACUAGCCCCACCCCUAUCUCUAGCACAUGGUCUCAAACUGCAUUUAAAAAAAAUCUUUGUUGAUAUUAUGGCAAGAACAGCUCAAAUAAGCAAAGAAAAACAACACUCCAUCAUUACUUUAAGACAUGAAGGUCAGUCAAUCCAGAAAAUUUCAAGAGCUCUGAAAGUUUCUUCAAGUGCAGUCACAAAAAACAUCAAGUGCUAUGAUGAAACUGGCUCUCAUGAGGACCACCACAGGAAAGGAAGCCCCAGAGUUACCUCUGCUGCAGAGGAUCAGUUCAUUAGACUUACCAGCGACAGAAAUUGCAGCCCAAAUAAAUGCUUCACAGAGUUGAAGCAAUAGAUACAGCUCAACAUCAGCUGUUCAGAAGAGACUGCGUGAAUCAGGCCUUCAUGGUCAAAUUGCUGCAAAGAAACCACUACUAAAGGACACCAAUAAGAAGAAGAGACUUGCUUGGGCCAAGAAACAUGAGCAAUGGACAUUAGACUGGUGGAAAUCUGUCUUUCUUGGGGACCUGAAUGUUGACUGGUUUUCAUCAAGCUGUCUGCUCAAGAGGAAGCUUCUCAAUGUAACCAGUGCCUGUAAUCUGGUUCAGGUUAUUAAGCCUGAAUGCCAAGCGUCAAAUCUGGAGGAAACCUGGCGCCAUCCCUACGGUGAAGCAUGGUGGUGGCAGCAUCAUGCUGUGGGGAUAUUUUUCUGAGGCAGGGACUAGGAAACUAGUCAGGAUCGAGGGAAAGAUGAACGGAGCAAAGUACAGAGAGAUCCUUGAUGAAAACCUGCUCCAGAGUGCUCAGGACGAUCAGACUGGGGCGAAGGUUCACCUUCCAACAGGACAACAACCUUAAGUGUAACAGGAUAGCGGGAGAUCGCGAACGUCAGGUCUUCCCAGUAUGAAAAUGUGAUGCAAGGGGUAUUUACACAUGUUAUAUUUUGUAUUAUAUUUUUGUAUUUUGUUCACCCAGUAUGAAAAUGUGAUGCAAGGGAUUUUGCCAUCGACGGCCAUCAAUACCGUUAAGCCCUGCACAACUAACGUGCUGUUUCCCAUUUAACAACAGAAAUAAAUGAUGCUCAACUGGGACCACUGGCCGAAGUGAUUUAUGUUGAGAAAACACAAUGCAUGGAGAGUACAUAUACAUCUGUUACAUAAGCACACAGCCAAGACAAUGAAGGAGUGGCUUCGGGACAAGUUUCUGAAUGUCCUUGAGUGGCCCAGCCAGAGCCCAAACUUGAACCCAUUCUAACAUCUCUGGAGAGACCUGAAAAUAGUUGUGCAGCGAAGCUCCCCAUCCAACCUGGCAGAGCUUGAGAGGAUCUGCAGAGAAGAAUGGGAGAAACUCCCCAUAGACAGGUGUGCCAAGCUUGUAGCAUCAUACCCAAGAAGACUCAAGGCUGUACUCGCUGCCAAAGAUGCUUCAACAAAGCACUGAGAA
Oncorhynchus tshawytscha (Chinook salmon) is the source of this 1623-nucleotide long non-coding RNA. The record is from Ensembl. NCBI's taxonomy places the organism in Eukaryota, Metazoa, Chordata, Actinopteri, Salmoniformes, Salmonidae.